This 388-nucleotide ribosomal RNA is filed under the name uncultured bacterium. RNAcentral's name for it is "bacterial SSU rRNA". It matches the Rfam family "Bacterial small subunit ribosomal RNA", at positions 28 to 417 of the family's 1533-position model. The record is from RNAcentral.
GACGAACGCUGGCGGCGUGCUUAACACAUGCAAGUCGAGCGGUAAGGCCCUUUCGGGGUACACGAGCGGCGAACGGGUGAGUAACACGUGGGUGACCUGCCCUCAGCUCUGGGAUAAGCCUGGGAAACUGGGUCUAAUACUGGAUAUGACUCCACGGUGCAUGUCGUGGGGUGGAAAGCCUUGUGCGGCUGAGGAUGGGCCCGCGGCCUAUCAGCUUGUUGGUGGGGUNAGGGCCCUACCAAGGCGACGACGGGUAGCCGGCCUGAGAGGGCGACCGGCCACACUGGGACUGAGACACGGCCCAGACUCCUACGGGAGGCAGCAGUGGGGAAUCUUGCGCAAUGGGCGAAAGCCUGACGCAGCGACGCCGCGUGAGGGAUGACGGCCU